Molecule: long non-coding RNA, 1810 nt
Organism: Taeniopygia guttata (zebra finch)
Lineage: Eukaryota; Metazoa; Chordata; Aves; Passeriformes; Estrildidae
Source: Ensembl
UUCAAAUCCCCCCUGAACCUCCCCCAUUCCUGGACCUCCCUUCCCUGGCCUUCCCUGCAGCCCCUUCCUCGCGGGGGCUGCACCGGAGCCUGGAGCCGCAGAAACCCCGGGAGAAACCCCUGGAGAAACCCCAGAAACCCCGAGAGAAACCCCGGGAGCAGCCCCAGAAACCCCAGAAGAAACCCCGGGAGAAGCCCCAGGAGCAGCCCCAGGAGAAACCCCAAGAGAAACUCCCAGAGCAGCCCCAAAAACCGCGGGAGAAGCCCCAGAAGCUCCAGGAGCACCCCCGGGAGCACCCCCGGGAGCAGCGCCAGGAGAAACCCCAGGACAAGCUCUGGGAGCAGCCCCAAAAACCGCGGGAGAAGCUCCAGGAGCACCCCCGGGAGCAGCCCCGGGACUGGCGGGCCAGGCUGGGGGUGGGCAAGGUGGGGCACGGCACCUUGUAGAGGAGUGGGGUCCCUUUAAAUGUGGCCACGCCCCUUUGGAGCACCUCUGUCCCUUUAAAUGUGGCCACGCCCCUUUGGAGCAGCACUGUCCCUUUAAAUGUGGCCACGCCCCAUUUAACUUCAGGCCACGCCCUCACCCAGUGCAGUUCCACACUGACCACGCCCACUUUUGCUGUAGCCCCACCCCUUUCUGUACAAAGCCACGCCCCUUUUAGCGAUUCGUGCGUCCCCUUUAAAUGCCACGCCCAUGGCUGACCACACCCUUUGCUAAACCACGCCCCUUAAAGGGACACUGUCCCUUUACCACAGGCCCCACCCUGACCACACCCAGUCCCUCAGCCCCGCCCCUCUCUGUGGCUCCUCCCAUGACCGCAGUGCCAGCCCCAGGGGUCCCCAAAGUGUCCCCAAAGUGCCACCAAUGGCCCUGGGCCUGUCCCCACAGUGCCACCAAUGGCCCUGGGCCUGUCCCCAAAGUGCCACCAAUGGCCCUGGGCCUGUCCCCACAGCGUCACCAAUGGCCCUGGGCCUGUCCCCAAAGUGCCACCAAUGGCCCUGGGCCUGUCCCCACAGUGCCACCAAUGGCCCUGGGCCUGUCCCCAAAGUGCCACCAAUGGCCCUGGGCCUGUCCCCACAGCGUCACCAAUGGCCCUGGGCCUGUCCCCAAAGUGCCACCAAUGGCCCUGGGCCUGUCCCCAAAGUGUCCCCAAAGUGCCACCAAUGGCCCUGGGCCUGUCCCCAAAGUGUCCCCAAGGUCCCCAAAGUGCCACCAAUGGCCCUGGGCCUGUCCCCAAGGUCCCCAAAGUGCCACCAAUGGCCCUGGGCCUGUCCCCAAAGUGUCCAAGGUCCCCGAAGUGCCACCAAUGGCCCUGGGCCUGUCCCCACAGUGUCCCCAAAGUGCCACUAAUGGCCCUGGGCCUGUCCCCAAAGUGUCCCCAAAGUGCCACCAAUGGCCCUGGGCCUGUCCCCAAGGUCUGCAAAGUGCCACCAAUGGCCCUGGGCCUGUCCCCAAAGUGUCCCCAAGGUCCCCGAAGUGCCACCAAUGGCCCUGGGCCUGUCCCCAAAGUGCCACCAAUGCCCUGGGCCUGUCCCCACAGUGUCCCCAGCGCAUCCCCCAGCCCCGUCCCCUCUGUCCCCCCUUGGUGACGGCACCGUCCCUCGCCCCAGGGCCCCGUCUCCCGCUGUCCCCGAGGGCCACCAAGGCGUCGCCGGCGGUGUCACUGCGGCGCUGGCUGCGGGCCGAGCUGCGGCUGGACCUGGAGGCCGGACGGCCCCGCCCUGCCAGCCCCCGGUCCCACCGAGGAGGAGGAGGAGGAGGAGGAAGAGGCCGCAGGGGGGGUGGGGGACACAGGGCCCCCCCCGCCUGA